UUUUAUUAUCUCAAUUUGUUAAGGCAAGUCUAAUUAGGUUAUAAAAUUAAGUGUACAUGAGUAAAUAUUUAAAUUCCAAAAAGAGUGUAAUGGAAACCCUAAUUAAAUAAUUAGGGUACGAUAAAUUUUAAGUUUUGGACCAUGCUAUUUUACAUGACCCAAACAAUUUAUUCAGGAGGCCUAAAAUAUUUAAUUUAGUAGCCCAAAAUAAUGGGACAUGUGUUAGUAGAAUAUCUAUGGUUAGGAAAUAACAUACUUGAGUUAAAGGUAGGAAAUUAUGGGAAAUGACUAUAUUGACCAAAAUAAAAUGCUUAAUGACUCAUGUGUCCUAAGAAGAAAUUUCUAGGAAGUUUCCUAGCAAUGGUGUGUUGACUCUUUUGCCCUUGGAGAAAGCUACUAAUGACCAAUGAGUCCUAGGAGAAAAUUGCUUGGAAGUUUACUAGUAAUGAUGAAAUGACUAAAUUACCCUUGGAUUUAUUUGUGAAAUUAUUAAAUAGAACCAAUCCAUGUGAACUUAAGUCGAAGCAUGACAUCAUCCUUAAAAAACACAAAGAUGAUGUCAUGAUGAUUUCACCUGGUGGAAGAUAUUUUGAGGGACUAAGGUGCAAUUAAUUAGGUACUAAAGUGUACUUAACCUAGGUACCAAACUGUAAUAAGUCGAGCCCCUAACGUACAAAUAGAGAAAAUAUGUUUUCCUAUAAAUAGGUGGCUAAGCUCAUUAGUUCUUCACCAAUUUACAAAGCAAAGUUAUAAUCAAGAAUUAGACAGAGAGAGUUCUUGUGAGAUUGUAAAGGAUUAGUUAAAGCUUGCAACUUCAAGAGGUAUUUACUCUAGUGGUUAUUAUUUUCAUUCUUCUUUAUAUAUUUAGUAAAAUAUACUUUUAUAAGCAGUUAUAAUGCCCAAAUUAUUUUAAGUAUAUAGUAUAAAAUUCCUAUUUACAAGUAGUUAUUAUGUCUGAUUUAUUACACUUAUAAUAAAGUAGAAAAUAUAUUUUUAUAAGCAG
Molecule: long non-coding RNA, 1003 nt
Filed under: Panax ginseng (ginseng)
Lineage: Eukaryota; Viridiplantae; Streptophyta; Magnoliopsida; Apiales; Araliaceae
Description: long non-coding RNA (PGIN_LNC005867)
Source: RNAcentral